AGCGAACGCUGGCGGCAGGCUUAACACAUGCAAGUCGAGCGGGCACUUCGGUGUCAGCGGCAGACGGGUGAGUAACACGUGGGAACGUACCCUUCGGUUCGGAAUAACGCUGGGAAACUAGCGCUAAUACCGGAUACGCCCUUUUGGGGAAAGGUUUACUGCCGAAGGAUCGGCCCGCGUCUGAUUAGCUAGUUGGUGGGGUAAUGGCCUACCAAGGCGACGAUCAGUAGCUGGUCUGAGAGGAUGAUCAGCCACUCUGGGACUGAGACACGGCCCAGACUCCUACGGGAGGCAGCAGUGGGGAAUAUUGGACAAUGGGCGCAAGCCUGAUCCAGCCAUGCCGCGUGAGUGAUGAAGGCCUUAGGGUUGUAAAGCUCUUUUGUCCGGGACGAUAAUGACGGUACCGGAAGAAUAAGCCCCGGCUAACUUCG
This 431-nucleotide ribosomal RNA is filed under the name uncultured bacterium. RNAcentral's name for it is "partial 16S ribosomal RNA". It matches the Rfam family "Bacterial small subunit ribosomal RNA", at positions 29 to 505 of the family's 1533-position model. The record is from RNAcentral.